RNAcentral lists this ribosomal RNA (506 nucleotides) under Chaetosciara sp. 3 SS-2012. Its description in RNAcentral is "partial 16S ribosomal RNA". The record is from RNAcentral. Lineage: Eukaryota; Metazoa; Arthropoda; Insecta; Diptera; Sciaridae.
GUCUUUUUGUGAUUUUAUAUAAAGUUUGACCUGCCCAUUGAGUAUUUAAAAGGCUGCAGUAUUUUGACUGUACAAAGGUAGCAUAAUCAUUAGUUUUUUAAUUGGAAACUUGUAUGAAUGGUUGAAUGAAACAUAAACUGUUUUAUUUUUUAAAAUUGAAUUUUACUUUCUUAUUAAAAGGUAAGAAUAAAUUUAAAAGACGAGAAGACCCUAUAGAGUUUAAUAAAAAAUUAUUAGUUUUUUGUAAAGAUUAUUUUUUGGUUUAGUAACUUUUUAUUUUAUUGGGGUGAUAAUAAAAUUUAAUAAACUUUUAUUUUUUAUAGACAUUAAUAAAUGAUUAAUUGAUCCAUUUUUAAUGAUUAAAAAAUUAAAUUACCUUAGGGAUAACAGCGUAAUUUUUUUUUUAAGUUCUUAUUUAUAAAAAAUUUUGCGACCUCGAUGUUGGAUUAAGAUUAAUUUUAGGUGCAGAAGUUUAAAAUUUAAGUCUGUUCGACUUUUAAAUUCUU